UCCAACAGGCUCCAGUAUAGUAUCAGCAACUACAGCUGGAGGAACUGCAGGACACAGGUUCUGAUGAGUUCUUGAGGGAGCAUAAAGAUAACAGGGAGACUACACAAGGAGGACAUGGAAGUCUCUGACACCUGCAGCUAUAGCAAAUAUUAAACAGCUAAACUCACAGCCAAAUGAACACAAAACCUCACACUAAAGGCCAAUUGCCCAAUACAUCAAGUCUGGCGUUCAAGGCAUACUAAAAGGCAAGAAAGGAAACAACUCAUGGUCUAUGUUGUCUUUAAUAUAGACAUACCUGGUUUUACAUGUUUAUUUUCAAAACUCAAAAACAAUGUCAUCCUAGACUUCACAGGCCAUCUGUUUAAGUCAAGUGUCUCCAAAACAAAAGCACAUUUUUCAAUAGAUACAGUUAUUUAUAAAUUUUCUGCACCUAAUAUAAUAUUUUUCUAAUAGAUCAUAUUCAUCAUAAAUCACACAAAAUUAAAAUGGAUGAGAUAAAAGUUAAUUAUACAUUAUAAAUUGAGUUUCUAACGUUUGUCCUCAACCCCUGAUAGCUAACAUGUAACUUGAAUACAUGCAGCUGGUUGUGGAAUCCACUUGGACAACAGGCAGAAUUCUAGGAUUCUUGUCUUUUGGCAUCCACACUUUGUAUAACAUAAUUUUCUUUCUUUGAAGAAGGGAAGGACCUAUGGUUUGCUUCUCCUCAGUACAAUGUUGUAAAGGAGAUGAAAUUUUGCAGAUGCAAAUGAGGUCCCUUGUCAGUUGUCUUUGAAAUAAUAAAAAAGAAGAUUGUCUUAGAUGGCCCUGCUAAUGUAGCAGGUCAGUUCUUUAAAGGAAGAUUCAAGCUUACUCUGGAAGAACAGACUCCAAGAAGGGAGGCUGUCCUACUGGCUUUGAAGAAGCCACAUUGGGAACUGCCAAUGGAAAGAGGAGUGGCAAUUAGGAGCUAAGGACCUUACCCCUAUGACCACAAGGAACUGAAUUCCAUUGACAACCUGAAUGACCUUGGAAGAAGACCUCAAGAUCUAGACAUGCAGCUUUAAAAUGUCUUCGUUAGCCCAGCCAGCUGCCAUGGAGACUUGAAAACAGAUGACCUAGGAAAGAGAUCUUAUCAAGUGAUUUUUAAUGAAAGUUUCUUUCCUGAAUGCCAAGCAUAGGAGAGAAACUUAUCCUUACAAAACUAGAAGAGGAGACACUACCACAUUGUCUAUUACAACACUCCGGAGAAAGUUGCUUUCAAAACCUGCUACUGAAAUGCUCUGGAGCACGGGUUCAGAAAACUUUCUUACUCGAAAAGCCCUUUCCUGGAAUGUGACUCUGUUAAAAGACUUACCUACUCAGCAUCACAGCUGACACUA
Non-coding RNA from Microcebus murinus (gray mouse lemur), 1358 nucleotides. The record is from RefSeq and is a predicted model, not a curated record. NCBI's taxonomy places the organism in Eukaryota, Metazoa, Chordata, Mammalia, Primates, Cheirogaleidae.